GGCACUAUAGUGUAGCGGUUAUCACUUGGGAUUCUGAGGAAGGUUCCCAAAACCCAGGUUCGAUUCCUGGUAGUGCCU
Molecule: transfer RNA, 78 nt
Filed under: Lentinus tigrinus ALCF2SS1-7
Lineage: Eukaryota; Fungi; Basidiomycota; Agaricomycetes; Polyporales; Polyporaceae
Also listed under: 1 other name
Description: tRNA-Gln
Rfam family: tRNA
About the family: Transfer RNA (tRNA) molecules are approximately 80 nucleotides in length. Their secondary structure includes four short double-helical elements and three loops (D, anti-codon, and T loops).
Source: RNAcentral